AUUAGAAAUCAACCGCAUCGAAAGUAAGAACAUGUCUGAGUAUCUGGUGAAUCUUUUAAUUUCAAACCCUGAAAUUCUGCCAAUAGGUAUCGGCAUGAUCAGGUAUCGUGACACAUGUGCUGAAGCCAUUCGUUUCUUCAAAAUGAAAAGCCCUAUUACCGAAAUAUCUGAUGCCUGCAGAAAGUUACUUGAAGUUAGUUGUGAGGAAUUGUUGCCUAGUAUAGUGAAAGGGGAUCAAUCCAAAUCUGUACUCUUUGAUGGUUGUAGACUUGCAUUAGCUUUGAGAAAGAUGAAAAACAGGGAGAUAAUGUGGAAAGUGAUGAGUCAAGUAUGGAUCGAGAUUCUGGCUUAUGCAGCUGCUCACUGCAGAGUGUUCCACCAUUCACAGCAGCUUGGGAGAGGGGGAGAAUUUCUGACUCAUGUUUGGCUUUUGAUGGCACACUUAGGAAUGACAGAGCAUUUCCAGGUAACUCAUGGCCAUGCAAGAGCUAGGUUCAAUGUUUCAUAGGCAUAGCUUGGGAUUAGCAUUUCAUUUGCUUUAAUACUUAUGUAGAUUAACCAUUCUAUUUGUUUGUUUUCUAUUUUCGUAAUUGAAAAAGUUGUGCCUUUCUGCCUAAGUUGGCACACAUUCACUGUCUGUACAUUAAUUAUCCAAUUUUCAUAUUUUUUUGUUCAAAAUUUUAUUGUAUAAUAAUAAUGUUCUUUCAGAAAUUUUUACUCUUGGGUUUCUAAAUAUGUCUUGCGUAAGUGAAAAAGUCAUGAAUGUGUAAUGUUAUAGUGGGUGAUACUGGUUCAAUCUUUUCAAAGUUAUAUCUAGGAAUAUAGUUCAUGUACAACACCUUUCCAAUUUCAUUUUUGCAAAGAGACUGUUUUAUGACUCAAGGAGAGAGCAAUUUCACACAUAAUUAGCUGUAACAAUGUAAGUAAGUGAGGUGAAAAUCUAACACCCAAUAUUAGAGCCCACACUAGGUGGACCUUCACCGGGUGUGUGUAGUGUGUGCUCUACUGCUCUAGAGACCAUGUUUCAGAUACUGACCAACCUCAAUACUGCUCUACUAUGUUAGUUACUACUUAGGGAAAAUGAAUUAAAAGCCCAAUGAAGUUUCCAAACCAUUCAAACAACCUCAAUCAUGUUUUGUAUUAAAAAAAACCCAACGAACUUAACUUUUUGUCUAAAAAAUCCAACAAAGUUCCAAACAGUUCAAAAAAUCCCAAUUUUGUUUUGUUUAAAUUCGUUGGAUUUUUUUUGAACAGUCAAAACAUGAUUGGAGUUCUUUAAACGUUUUGGAAACUUCGUUGGUCUAACAAGUCAUUUUCCCCAUACAGUAAUAAGCUAUGCCAUAUGUUUCUCUUAUUUGACUUUCAGGAAAGUGUAACUUAGUUAAGCUUUUUAGACAAAAGGUUAAGUUUGUUGGGUUUUUUUGAACAGACAAAACAUGAUUGAGUUUCUUUUGAACGGUUUAGAAACUUCAUUGGGCUCGUAAGUCAUUUUCCCUACUACUUAUGAUCAACAUGAUUGUCUUAUCGUUCCAUUUUUUACGACUUGUAAGUUGUAACACACUUGAUAUAUUGUUGAAAACAUGCAUCAAAUUUUGUGUGAUCAACCAUUGAAAUAUUUGGUGGGACAGGUGUAAGGUAAAAAGGGUUGUUGAAUUAGAAGUUGGAUGCAGAGUAUAUGUUUAUGGAUUUUCAAGCUUCUUAAUUAAAAAUUUUAAAAGCUUGUAAAAGUGCACUUAACUUACUGUUUGAAGUCUAAAUUGCAUAACAUGUUCGAUUAGCUCCAGACCUCCAGUAUAUAUUGUAUCGGUUCAUUGAGUUGCCAUCUGGACAGAAUAAAACCUGAGUCAUGUUUCAAGAGUCACAGAAAUUAACCAGUACUUGUAAAAUUAAGAAUAAUGUCUUUUGGGCUUUUCUACUCAAUUCUUUAAAAGCCACAGGCUCUUGAUGCACUAGGGUCACAAUUUUACUACAAGUAAACAAUGAAGAGAACAAAAGAAAGGGAACUUGUGGUGGAUGCAAGUAAAAAACAACUCUAAACCUAUUCUGAAAAUAAGUAACUGAAACGAAACACAGAGUGACUUGAAAUCAAACCUGAAGAUUGAAUUUUGUUUGGAUCAAAAGUAGUUGGCUAUCAUGCUUAUACUCAACAUUAAGACCAGACUAACAGGUGUAUCGUGAUAUAGAGCAGUGGGUGAUUGAUGCCUUAAAAGGCUUAAACUAAACCAGAUGGGUUCGAGAAAACUAUAUCGAUUAUUUUUUUGCUCUCGGUCUGCCUAAACAAGCAGAUAACCGAAAUUCCGCACAUGGGGGGAUACCGGGAUGCUACUAUUCAUGAACGCCGGAAAGCUGAAGUCUACCAUUUAGACAAGAAAACGGUAAAAAAAAACUAGAAAACGGGUGAACAGAAACACUGAAGCAUGAGCUUACAAACCGAAGGUAGCACGGUGUAGAUAAAGAGUUGAUAACUCACAGUUAUGCAGAGGCAAUCUCUGGAUGAACCAUGGGAAGCUGAAACCAUGAAUUAUGAACGUUCGUUUAUACUUCAAGAUGAUAAUAUCUACAACUGUAUUAUAUAGAAAACAACGAAAAAUCAAGCGUUUUUGUCUUUAUGCAUAUAAUACCAAGUCGUGGUUGACCCAAGUCAAGUUUAUCAUUGCUAAUAGUCUAGUCUUUUGAAGCUUUCCGUUAGCUUUCAUCCACCAGGAAAGC
RNAcentral lists this long non-coding RNA (2709 nucleotides) under Lactuca sativa (garden lettuce). RNAcentral's name for it is "long non-coding RNA (LSAT_LNC001011)". The record is from RNAcentral. Lineage: Eukaryota; Viridiplantae; Streptophyta; Magnoliopsida; Asterales; Asteraceae.